GAGGAAUAUUGGUCAAUGGGCGCGAGCCUGAACCAGCCAAGUAGCGUGCAGGAUGACGGCCCUAUGGGUUGUAAACUGCUUUUGUAUGGGGAUAAAGUCAAUCACGUGUGAUUGUUUGCAGGUACCAUACGAAUAAGGACCGGCUAAUUCCGUGCCAGCAGCCGCGGUAAUACGGAAGGUCCGGGCGUUAUCCGGAUUUAUUGGGUUUAAAGGGAGCGUAGGCCGGAGAUUAAGUGUGUUGUGAAAUGUAGACGCUCAACGUCUGACUUGCAGCGCAUACUGGUUUCCUUGAGUACGCACAACGUUGGCGGAAUUCGUCGUGUAGCGGUGAAAUGCUUAGAUAUGACGAAGAACUCCGAUUGCGAAGGCAGCUGACGGGAGCGCAACUGACGCUUAAGCUCGAAGGUGCGGGUAUCGAACAGGAUUAGAUACCCUGGUAGUCCGCACAGUAAACGAUGGAUGCUCGCUGUUGGCCUUUUGUGGUCAGUGGCUUAGCGAAAGCGUUAAGCAUCCCACCUGGGGAGUACGCCGGCAACGGUG
This 540-nucleotide ribosomal RNA is filed under the name uncultured bacterium. Its description in RNAcentral is "bacterial SSU rRNA". It matches the Rfam family "Bacterial small subunit ribosomal RNA", at positions 356 to 896 of the family's 1533-position model. The record is from RNAcentral.